CGCCGGGUGUACAAUGGCAUUCAUCUGCCUGCGCUUCGCCUCAUCCGAAAAAAUGACUGCCGCCAGUUUCCCCCGAUCCAGUCCGCCCUGCGGCAGGAAAAUAUCCUCCGGGUAACCCAGCUUACGGAUCAGCUCCUUAUCCCACUGGAAGGUAUCGGGAUUCACCAGCUGUGUCGUGGAACCGUUCGUGUACUCCGACAAUUUAUUGCCCGUCAGACGGAAACCGAAGUAAUCCGGCAGCAUGAGAAGUGUCUUUGCCUGUUUCAUAAUCUCCGGGGUCUUCUUUUCCACUGCCAUAAGCUGAUAAAUCGUAUUAAAAAUCUGCUUCUGAAUACCGGUUCUGGCAUACAGUUCCGUCUCCGGCAGUAUUUUCGCCACUUCCGCAUCCAUUCCGUCAGUACGGUGAUCUCGGUAGCCGUAAGUAUCUCCCAGAAUCUGAUCUUUUUCAUCCAGCAAUACAUAAUCCACAGCCCAGGUGUCGAUUGCCAUGCUGACCGGAAGCUUGCCCAGUUCUUUGCAUUUUUUCAUUCCGUUCAGAAUCUCGCCGAACAGACGGUUCACAUCCCACAGAAGCUUUCCGUCCUUAUGAUCCAUGCCAUUCUCAAAACGAUAGAUCUCUUCCAGCUCUAUUUUGCCGUUCUCCAUGUGUCCCAAAAUAUGUCGUCCACUGGAAGCACCGAUAUCCACGGCCAGAUAAUAUUUUUCCAUAAGAUAUCCACAGCCUCCCUUAUCUGAAACUGAAUACCUGUGUAAGAAGCGGCUGUGCUCCUGUAACAGGAUCCUUCUCCAUGAUCAGAAUAUCUUUCAUAUAUUCAUCCCAUUUUUUCACUACAUCGCUCUCUGCCUGCACUUUUGCCGCAUAGUCGACGCCCUUUUCACAUUCGUAAUAACCGAACAGUUCCUCGCCCUGCAUCCAGAUAGAGUAAUUUACAAUUCCAGCGUUUGCCAGAACUUCCUUCAUCUCCGGCCAGAUGUUGUCAUGUCUCUUCUUAUAUUCCUCCUGCAUUCCCGGUACAAUUUUUCCGCGCCAUGCGUAUUUUUCCAUACAAACCACCAUACCUUUCUCACUCAUUAUUUUCGUUGCAAAUCUGCUCUGUUACCCAAUCUCUGUCGCAAUAUUCCUUUGCUUCGGGCAUCAGCUUUUUCAUAAUCUGUGCUUGCAGAAGCACAAACUUGUGCUUUUAACGAUAUUAUAGAAAACAUAAUCUGCUUCUGAAAUGACAUUAUUUGCUCCCUGGACUGUCCGAUUUUGCCCGAUCCGUACGAUAACUGUUUAUUACAGCACAUGAAUUGUGUUAUGAUACAAUAAGUUCACCCGUAUAAAGCAGCCGCCGUGGAUAAAUUGUACCGCAAAUUUGAUCACGAUAGCCGCCCAAGCAAAGAGAGUAUGAAAAAUACCAUCGUUAUGUAUCAUAAAUAAUAAUUUAGAAAGCACAAUUUUUAUGGAACGUACAUUAACCUAUACAACAGAUCAUUUCAUAUCCCCCCUGCCGGUCAGCCAUUUCCUGAAGCAGAAAGGGUUUUCUUCCCAGAAUCUGGUGCAGUUAAAAAAAGACCCCACCGCCGUGCAGGCAAACGGGAUUCCCUGCUUCAUGAAUCAUAUAUUGCAGCCGGGAGAUACCUUGACGCUGCAUAUCCACGAGGAACACUCCUCGGAAAAAAUCCCACCGGUGGAGCUGCCGCUGGAUAUCAUCUACGAGGACGAGGAUCUCAUGGUGAUCAAUAAGCCGGCAGGCAUGCCGAUCCACCCUUCCAUGAACAAUUAUUACAAUUCCCUGGCAAACAGUCUUGCCUAUUAUUUUGCACAGCAGAACUGUCCUUUUGUGUUCCGCUGUAUUAAUCGUCUGGACCGGGAUACCUCCGGACUGACCAUCGUAGCCAAGCAUUAUGUCAGCGCCGGAAUGCUGUCCACCAUGAUCGCCAACAAGGCAAGUUCCGGUAUCACACGGGAAUACCUUGCCAUUGUAAAAGGCUCUGUGCUGCCUUCUGGGGGUAUUACUGCAGCUUCGCGUUGUUCCCGGGCACGGGACGUGUAGGAUAGGUCGGAGGCAAUGAAGCGGUUUCGCCAGGAAUCGUGGAGCCAUCGUUGAAAUACGACCCUUCUCUUGUCUGGGAUCUAACCCAUGUGAUGGGGACACCGCGUGGUGGGUAGUUUGACUGGGGUGGUCGCCUCCAAAAGCGUAACGGAGGCUUCCAAAGGUACCCUCGGGUUGGUUGGUAAUCAACCUCAGAGUGCAAUGGCACAAGGGUGCUUGACCGGGAGACCAACGAGUCGAUCGGGUGCGAAAGCAGGGCAUAGUGAUCCGGUGAUCCCGCGUGGAAGGGUCAUCGCUCAAAGGAUAAAAGGUACUCCGGGGAUAACAGGCUGAUCGCCCCCAAGAGCUCAUAUCGACGGGGCGGUUUGGCACCUCGAUGUCGGCUCGUCACAUCCUGGGGCUGGAGAAGGUCCCAAGGGUUCGGCUGUUCGCCGAUUAAAGUGGCACGCGAGCUGGGUUCAGAACGUCGUGAGACAGUUCGGUCCCUAUCCAUCGUGGGCGUAGGAUAUUUGAGAGGCUUUGUCCCUAGUACGAGAGGACCGGGAUGAACGCACCUAUCGUGCACCUGUUGUCGUGCCAACGGCAUAGCAGGGUAGCGAAGUGCGGAUGAGAUAAACGCUGAAAGCAUCUAAGCGUGAAACUCGCCUCAAGAUAAGAUAUCCCAAACUUUAAGUUUGUAAGACCCCUGAAAGACGAUCAGGUUGAUAGGUCGGGAGUGUAAGCGCCGCAAGGCGUUCAGCGGACCGAUACUAAUAGGUCGAGGGCUUAUUCU
This 2808-nucleotide ribosomal RNA is filed under the name human gut metagenome. Its description in RNAcentral is "bacterial LSU rRNA". The stretch from base 1957 to 2797 matches the Rfam family "Bacterial large subunit ribosomal RNA", at positions 2047 to 2912 of the family's 2925-position model. The record is from RNAcentral.